GCCAUGGUGGUCUAGCUGUUAGAACGCUGGCCUUGUAAUCCUGGGGUCUCGGGUUCGAUUCCCGGCAAUGCCC
Molecule: transfer RNA, 73 nt
Filed under: Zootermopsis nevadensis
Lineage: Eukaryota; Metazoa; Arthropoda; Insecta; Blattodea; Termopsidae
Rfam family: tRNA
About the family: Transfer RNA (tRNA) molecules are approximately 80 nucleotides in length. Their secondary structure includes four short double-helical elements and three loops (D, anti-codon, and T loops).
Source: Rfam by way of RNAcentral